RNAcentral lists this ribosomal RNA (1238 nucleotides) under Chilecicada sp. PL492. Its description in RNAcentral is "16S ribosomal RNA". The stretch from base 824 to 1187 matches the Rfam family "Archaeal large subunit ribosomal RNA", at positions 2151 to 2715 of the family's 2987-position model. The record is from RNAcentral. Lineage: Eukaryota; Metazoa; Arthropoda; Insecta; Hemiptera; Cicadidae.
GCAGAAAAUUAUAUUUUCUUUGUAUAAAAUUAAGAUUAAAAAUAAUUUUUCUGUUUUAGUAAUUAUUAUAGAAAUAAUUAAUUAUAAUAAAUUGUAAAAGAUAAGACAUUAUGUUUAUUAAAGUAAAAUUAAUUUUGUACCUUUUGUAUCAGGGUAAAUUAAAUAUAUAUUAUAAAUAUAAUUUUCCCAAAAUGAAGUGACUUAAAAUAUAUUGUUAGUUAUUGUUAUAUAAAUAUUAAUAAACGUGUUUUAGUGAUGAGAUUUUUUCGAACUUCUUGAUAUUUGGUUUCUUAACAAAUAAAUUUAAUUUAGGAAAAAUGAAUAUAAAUAAAUAUAUAUAUAUAUAUAUAUUAAUUAAUAAUUUAUUGAAUUUUUCUAAUUAUGAUAAGGAUAAGCUUAUCAAUAAUAUCUAUAUAUUAAUAUAUUGUAAAGUUUAAUAGGCUUAAAACCAGCCAUUUUUAAAUUAAGUUAAAUUUUAACUUCAUAUGAAUUAUAUUAUGUUAACUUUAGAUAUCUAUUAAGAGAUAAUUUUUAAUUAUUUAAAUUAAUUAUAAUGAUUUAAUUAGUAAAAUUUUUAAUUUGGAUGUUAUGAAUUCGGCAAAUAUAAUUUUCACCUGUUUAUCAAAAACAUGUCUUUUAGUUUAAGAAUUAAAAGUCUAGUCUGCCCAAUGAUUAUUGAAUGGCCGCGGUAAACUGACCGUGCAAAGGUAGCAUAAUAAUUAGUCUUUUAAUUGAAGGCUUGCAUAAAUGAUUGGAUGAAAAAUUUUCUUUAUUAUUUUUAAUGUUUUAACUUAAUUUAUAAGUAAAAAAGCUUAUAUAAUAAUGUGGGACGAGAAGACCCUAUAGAGUUUAAAAGUUAAAUUAAUAGAUUAAUUUUAGUUAUAUUUAUUAAAUAAAUUAUAAUGACUUUUUUAUUGGGGUGAUAUUGAAAUAUUUAUAACUUUCAAUUAAUUAAUCAUUAAUUAAUGCUAAAUUGUUCUCUAUUUUGAAUUACAAGACUAAAUUACCUUAGGGAUAACAGCGUAAUUAAAUUAAAGAGUUCAUAUCGAUAAUUUAGUUUGCGACCUCGAUGUUGGAUUAAGAAAAAUUUUUGGGGUAGAUUUUAAAAUAGUUAGGUCUGUUCGACCUUUAAAUUCUUACAUGAUCUGAGUUCAGACCGGCGUGAGCCAGGUUGGCUUCUAUCUACAUUUAUGUUUUUGAUAUUAGUACGAAAGGACCAUAUUAAUUAAUAAUAUUAU